This 468-nucleotide ribosomal RNA is filed under the name uncultured bacterium. RNAcentral describes it as "partial 16S ribosomal RNA". It matches the Rfam family "Bacterial small subunit ribosomal RNA", at positions 28 to 507 of the family's 1533-position model. The record is from RNAcentral.
GACGAACGCUGGCGGCGUGCUUAACACAUGCAAGUCGAACGGAAAGGCCCUGCUUUUGUGGGGUGCUCGAGUGGCGAACGGGUGAGUAACACGUGAGUAACCUGCCCUUGACUUUGGGAUAACUUCAGGAAACUGGGGCUAAUACCGGAUAGGAGCUCCUGCUGCAUGGUGGGGGUUGGAAAGUUUCGGCGGUUGGGGUUGGACUCGCGGCUUAUCAGCUUGUUGGUGGGGUAGUGGCUUACCAAGGCUUUGACGGGUAGCCGGCCCGAGAGGGUGACCGGCCACAUUGGGACUGAGAUACGGCCCAGACUCCUACGGGAGGCAGCAGUGGGGAAUAUUGCACAAUGGGCGGAAGCCUGAUGCAGCAACGCCGCGUGCGGGAUGACGGCCUUCGGGUUGUAAACCGCUUUCGCCUGUGACGAAGCGUGAGUGACGGUAAUUGGUAAAGAAGCACCGGCUAACUACGUG